UGGCCGACAGCACUUCACUCCUGUCCGAGGGCUCAUGACUGAGCACUGUAGCAUCGACAGGACAAUGGCCCUGGGCUGCUGGCAGGUUGCAGGCAGGGCUUUACCUUCCUGUUGAUUUCUGACAACAUAAGUCACUCUCAAUAGCUGAUUUAACUUGGGAUCAUAUGGCCCAAAAAGAGCCUACCAAUAGCCACGCCUGUGCUGUUGCUGUGGUGAUCUACAACUGUGACAGCUUUGAGAGUGAUGGAUGGAGCAAAUGGAAAAUCAUGAGAAAUCAGAGGGCAGAGGCUGCAGCAGGGCAUCUGAGCCAUGUUCUUCAGCUGGCAAGAAGAAGAGAGUGAAGAGGACAUGCAGGAGCUUGACAGAAGCAGACUAAAAUGGAAGGGGAAAAUGAAACACAGAAGAAAGCUAGCAGAGAUGCUGGUUUUAGGGUUACACAGGGAGUAGGGAUUUAGUAGACAAUUUGUUCUAUUACAGACUUCACAAACAACUUUAGGCAACUCAUUACAUCAGUUUGAACACCAAUUUCUCUUCUGUGAAAAGUUUCUGUGAGAGGAACUGUCACAAAAUAUCCUGGGGAUUAUAAAUACAAAAUGGCAACCACCUUGUAAGUGGAAAAAACCAGUCUGAACAACAUCCAGAUAAAAAAGAAAGCUUUCAACAGUCUCAGAAAAGUCAGAGUUCAUGGAAGAAAGCAAACAGAAAGAGACAGGAAAGGAGUUGAAUAUGUUUCUGCUUGUCUCAUGAUGAAUCUGUACACAGUGUAUGCAAUUGCUAUACUUUUAGGAAGCUCUUUUGGCUCAUCUGUUGGCAUCAGCAUUGCAGGGCUGUAUUCCCAAUUUGUAAAUGUGGUGUUAUCUCACAUCCCUCAGUACCAGGGAAGGAUAAGGGCUUUCUGCUGAAAUAGUAUUUUCAUUUCCCUGCUGUCAUUCUCUUCCCACUAUGUGUUUUCCAGUGAAUCAUUGUUUUGAACCUUGAGUUGUACUGGUGUGGCUGAAAGCAUAGACUUUAAUUUAGAUAAAGUGGAGACCUCUUGGAUAUGGAUGCUGUCAAAAACUGAUUCGUGAUUAGGCAAAUAGGGCCCUGGAAACCUUUCAGUCACUGCAUGCUAUCACAGGAAGCCACAGAACGAAAUGUCUUUCAUUUGAGUGAAAUCUUUUUAAAGCAUCUGGCCUCUUUCCUUGCCUCUCCCAUUAGAGACUGUUCCUGAACCUAAUUGCUCAGAUGGCUAGAAGCUUUCUUUUAAUUUCAAGGGUAAAUUCCUUUAUGGUCAUUUUAUAGCCUGUUGUCCUUGGGAUGUCCUUUAGCUUUAAUAACUUCCUCUUCUGAUUUUUACACUCAGAUACAUUUAUAGAGAGGAAAUCCAGGCUCUCUCAUCCUUCAUUUUGCUGAUUCUAAAAGCCAGUCACUCUUAGUUUCUCCACAUAGGCUUGGAAUCUCCCUGGUCCUGCUAUCAUGUGCUCGCUCUUCACCUGUUCCCAUUGGAUCUCAUAUUUUUGGGAAGUAGGCAACAAGGAUUGCAUGCCAUUUUUCAGAUGAGAUUUCUCCUGAGUCCUACAUACCACUAUUGACUUUUCCUCCUCUGUCUGGAUAUGUUGCAGGAUACUAUUUGUCUUUACAACAUGUUGGGGCUCACAGUCACUCUGUGAUGACAGUGUAAUGUAUUAGUAAGUGCAAGCUUUUGUCCUUCUCUGGCACUUCCAGCUCUUGAGCCACAACAGUGUUGCUGUUACAGAUUCUGAUACAUUUCUGCAUAUUAAAGCUAAGGUACUAAGAAAGUUAGCUACUGAAUUCCAUUCUUCCAAACCGAUACUUUCCCUUUCUGUACAAACUGCAUUUGUCUCCCCAUCAGCCAGCUCUUUACCUACCUUCUAACUUUUCCAUAACUUCUAUUUUAGCUAUUAAUUACAAAUAUGUCACUGUGUCAACUACUUUAUUGUAGUCUGGACAGAUAAGAUGUCUAUCAUUCCCCCGAUCCAAAAUAGUUGUCUUAUUAAAGAGAAAUAUCGAGUUAUUCUGGCAUGCUCUGCCUUUGACAAACUACUAUUGCUUUGUACAUCACUGUUCAUUUGCCUAUGUGUUUUUUUAUUAUUCCCUCCUACAGAUUGGCUUUAAAGCUGUAGGCACUGUGGUGGUCAGGAGAAUGGGUCUGCAUUUCCCUAGAUUACACCCUUUUCCUUUUCUUAGAGAUAACAGAAGUACUGCAUCUGUUAUUUUGCAGUCAGACAGUGCCACCACCAACUUGACAGAUUAAUUAAAAAUCCGCCCUGUAAGAUUUGCCAUCUCAUACGCCAGCUAUCUCAAUAUUCUGAGAUAUUCUGGUCCCUGUGACUGGAGCUGAUCAAAAUGCUUACGCUCCUGUUUCAUCCUGCAUGCAGUCACUUCCUUUUCUACAAACACAGUGCUUGCCCUGUAUUCUCCUUUGUCGGAAUUACUGAAAAUUGGGAGUGUUAACUCAUUUAAUUCAUGUUGUAUGUGGGUCACACCUAUGAUCCCCUUGUUACUUUCCCCAAGCAUGAACAUGUCCCUUCCACAUCAUGUCACAAAGGAAUCAUCUGUUGUUUCUUCUACUUGCCUUCACAAGGUGUAUCUCAGGUUGGCCUUUAAUCAUUCUUAAUUAAUCUUUACAGCUUUAGACCUCUUGCCCCCCCACAUACAGCAAACUGUUGCUUACUUCUUGUGCAACCUGUGCUUUCUGGGCUAUAGCACUCUAAAGGACAUUGACAAAAUCAGUUUGGAACCAAUGUAAAAGAGAUGUCACAGCGGCUUUCCUAGGUUUAAUAUUAGCCACAUUCUAAACUAUUAAAAAUGAAACUUGUUAGACAAGUGUGUGAAGAUACACCCUAAAUCCUUCACUGAGAUUUAAAUGAAAGAGUCUCAUGCCCAUGACCGAGUUGCUUUGGGUCAGGGAGAAAGAAGCAUUUUUCUCUCCUCGCCUGUUCUACACGUUCACUUAUUUUCUAGAUUGUCUCUUUUGUAUUUUUAGAAGUGGAUGUUGCUAAGGCAACCAAACUAGCUGAACAUUUUGUUUCCCCAAGAACAAUACAUGUUUAAAUAUUCAGGCAAUUUUCCAUUGUUCAGCAGGAAUGGUGAGAUCAGUCAGAUUAUUCAGACCAGAGGAGGAAAGUUUAGGUUGGCCUUCCACUAUAUAUAAAAGACUUCAGUGUGCUGACAGCCAUUCAACAGUUUGGUUCAAGGAGGAACAAUACAUGACAGACACAUAGACCACCCUCCCUAUAUACGAGAAAUGUUUUGUUUUAUUCCCCUCUGGCUCGCCCCCCACAAUAAAUUAAAGUAUGUAUUUCCAGGUAGAUGAGUUACACUCACCUCUGUGUUGAUGCUGACACAGGGCCUGCUCUUGCUCUGAAAGCAAAGCAUCAGGUGACAAUAGUGUCAUACAGGUCAGAAGGGGCAAAGAAAACAUCUAUCCACUUUAUCACAUCCUUCCCUCUUGCCUAAUCUGUGGCUUUCAGGCUCAUUUCAAACACCUGGAAAAGAUCUGGAAUAUUCUUAUGUAGCCAGCUUCUUGUUGUUACCCCCAAAACUGGGCUGGUGAUGGAAUGACUCCACCUACCUCUCCAAAGCUCACCAGCCUGGCUUCCUGGCUGACUUUGUUCCGGAGCAGAUUACAGAGGGGCUGGCACAGCCCAUUCCAUUGGCUGAUCUGUGAUGGCAGGAACUGCCACCCCAUAAGUGGCAUGGAGCAGAGUGUAGUGUUAAUACUCUGCAAGGGAGCCAGAGCCAUGCAUGACACUGAGAUACCUUGAAGUGUGCUUCUGAUUUUGACAUGAAUAUUUUCUGCGUUGAUCACCAAGUGUGCUUAGUUUCACUUUUCCCCAUUGGCAUUGUGAAAUGGCUGAAACUAUAAAAACCUGAAGAAAACAUGAUUAUGGCUUAAAAAUGUUUCUCAAAGAAGUGCCAAAUACUAUUAUAAUGCUGAAAACAGCAGGAGAGGAAAAGGGCAGGAAAGAAAUAAAGGAGAUUAAAAGUGUGGAAGUGGUCAGCAUGUAAAACUGCAAAGGCAUAGAGGCACAAAACCCAUAGCACAGUCAAGAAAGAGGAUGAUCCAGAAGCAGGGAGUAGUCUGAUACUAGAGGAUGGAGGGUGCAGAGGAGAGUCACAGCGGGAAGUUAAAUGAGGAAUACAGGUCUGAAGCUGUCAGUGACAGCAGAGAUGCUGUGCAGCAGAGCAGGCACUCCUCCACUGAGUGACACACAGCACACGCCUGACUGACUAGUGUUACUAUGAGAUGGAGCUACUUAUCCUUUCCAAUAUCUAGCUCCAGAAAUGUGCAACUCCCUCUUCCUUCUAAAUAUCUUUUCAGGAGACGUGAGCAAUAGACCAGUAACACUGAUUACAAGUCAUCUGUCUGAAAAGAGAACUUUAGAAACCUUUUUGGUUUCCAUAAUUUGGUAGUUUCUGUGUGUAUAUUUGGGCUCUUCUCUGUCUUCCUCUUUUUAAAAGUGAAGCACAUCACCUAGAGCAUUCAAAUACUUUGGCCUAAAAGCUAAUCAGUGCAAAGAGGGUUAUGCCGUUCAAAGAAGAAUGAGAAAGUCUCCUAGUUUAUCUUGGCCGGACCCAAGCAUACCAAACAGCAAGUAAGUGUCCUAGGAUUGUCAAAGAUACUGGGUUGAAAUGGCAGUCAGCAUGGAGCAUUAGUUUUCAGGAAACUAGCUGGUUCCUAGGAGGAUGGACAGCUAGGCAAAGUCUGAAUAACUAGAAAAGGCAAUGAGUCAUGGGUUAGCCUGACAUAGCCAUGGGAACCAUAAAAGGGCUAUAUGAGUCACAAAACUCAUAGCCCCAACACAAGCUAAUCUGUUUGGCUCUUUUCCACCCCACCAUUUUUCCUGAAAGAUAAGAAGAACUGGCAGAUUAGAUGUGGUCCAGGGUGGUUACACAUCACAUCAUGGGUAACUAAACUGCUGCUAAAAGCAUUGUUUGGGAUGAUUUCCACUGUGUCUCUCCUUCUCAGCCCUCACUCUCUGUGCAGACUGGACUGCCUAUCUGACCAGUCUCCUCAAGCUCAGGGCCUGGCCAAGCUAGAGGACUAGGAGGAAGGUCAAAGUCCAAAAUGGGGCUCAUGGGGAGAAAGCGCUUUAGUCAGAGACAAGGGUCUUGCAGAUGCUUAGACUGAAACAAAUAAAAAGAUGAAACUGGGCAGAAAAGAGUUGCUCUGAGGUCUAGGAAGGAGGCAAAUUGGUGCACCUCAGUUCACAGUUAGAGAGAUUGGGGAGAGUUGUGAUCCAUCACACUCCAAAACAUCUGACUGAAAGCAAAGGUCAACUUUUGCCUAUGACCUAUUGAAACUUUGGUACAACCAGGGCAUGGAGCACCUGAGCUUAAUGCUCUCCUGAGGAAGCUACUGUAGGGAGCAAAGGAUGGGGAGAAAAGAAGUGGAAAUUGCAGAUUGAAGUGGAUUGGGAGGGGAUACAAAAGGGACAAGGAGCAGAGGAGAAAUACAAGGUGUGCUGGCUCUCAGUGCAGCCUAUUUGUGGAGCAUCAGCAAUCAACAAAGCCUUUAUUUCAUUCCUACUGACUCUUUACAUGACAGUGUCUCUGCUCCUGCCAGGUGUUACCUAUAAAUAAUUCUGUCACCCAACUACAUCAUGUGCCCAAAACGGGAAGACUGAGCUGAACAGGACUAAAACCCAGAAAGGAUUAUUUUAAUUUAAGAAAGAGUGCCUACUGUGUGAAGAAUCAACUACUUGCUGACCACAGACACCCUGAGGAGAAAGACAGGGGAAGGUCCCCCAGCAGUACUGUUGGAUCAGAGCCAACACAGUGAUGCACUCACAGUGCUAGCUGUGACAGAUGUCUGCAGCGAGUCUCCCUGGGGCAAAAGGAAGAAGCCCAGGGAUGUUGCUGCCCAGUUUACUGCACAUUUCACAGAACCUGGCCUAAGCCAGGAUUAGUUUCAAGACUGGGCAUUGCCAGCGAUAUUACUCAUAUCACUUUGAGAAAAUCACUUGCCCUCCAUCUGUCUCAGUUUCUUCUCCUGUGAAACAGAGCCUGACUGUGGCUUUGCAAUGCAUGACUGCUUUUUUGGCCCUGGCUUCUCUGCCUGCUCUACAGCUGCUGACAGGCAGCCUGCAGGUGGGUCUGCUUUCAAGUCUGUAGCCUUCAGGGAGAUAGCUUUUGCUAUGGGAGACCAUGGCUCUAUGAAUCUACAAACAGAGAAGUCACUGCUACUGUGAUUAUUACAGACAGCAGCAGUGGCUGAUACAACUUCUCAGAAAAGGUAAUUAUGGCUCAGAGAAGGCAGAUGGUGCAGACAUAGAAGACAUGCAUGCCUACCUUUUAAAAAUCUUGUUUGUAUUCAUAAAUGUGAACUCACUGCAAGGUGAUUUAUCCCUACCUUUCAGUUAGCCAGGAAAAAUAGCCUCUCUGAUACAGAAAUACUUGGAUAGUUCUCUUGUGACCAUUCCCCAGUGCAGCUGCCUCAUGACAAGGCUCUGUGGCCUCUGCACAUGGCUGUUAAUGCUGCUCCACCUAACCUGAGAGAACCCCCUCUAUUAUGCACAGCAGAAAGGACACCUUUCAUAAAGGAGCAACCAGAAACUGCAUUGAGGACAGACAAUGUUCUGUACUGAAGAGUGAGCCUCCCAGAUGAUUUUUAUUAUCAGUUUUCUGAGGGCAGCAGCUUUAUAUUUAGGUGAUAUAAGAAACACAAGCCACGGGCUUAGCGGGUUUUAUGGAUGAGAUUACUUCUGUCUCUUUUUUUGCACACCCACUCUUCCAACUACUGUUCUUUUUAAGACUUUGGGGAACAUUAGGUAGGGGACCAGGAGAAGAGGGGAUGAAACAGACAAGCUGAAGGCAGAUGCUCAUGUUAGUCUCCUGAAGCAGCUAAUCAGAUUUUCUUUCUAUACAGUGACUUGGAUUUUGCAAUGCAAAAGGAAGAAGUUUAAAAUAAAGCUGUGACCUUCUUGUUCCCACCAACAGAGCAAGCUAUCUGCAAAUCUCAUUUUAAAAAAUACUGCAAACUCCAACAUGAAUGAAAAGGUUUUUAAGAGGGAGCAAAAGGGAGGUUUGGAUUUUACUCCAAAUUUCACUAGUUCCUCACUACAAGGACACUACAGUGAUUUUGGUGCCAUGAGUAAGAGGCGUUACAUAACUAUGCAAAAUGCCAGAGAUGUGGGGGCAAGAAUCCUGUCGGGGCUCAGGUAUUAGACUGUGACUCUGAAAAUAUUGCCAUCAUUUCCAUAGCGAAUCCACUGAGUCACAGAAAUGUUAGGGAUUAUUCACACUGUGGGAGGAGCCAAGGGAACACAGAUUUGGAAGGAGAACUUUUGCACGAGCCAGUGUCUGCUUAAGGCAAGCAAAGAGCACUUUCUGGUCUACCUGCAAAUAGCCUAUUUCAAUUAUUGCACAAACAAAUGCUUAUACACCCUCCCACACCCAGCACAUCUUAGGUUCCUGCGUACAAGGAUUCCUUUGGUAUUAUCCCAUAUUCAACCAACUUGGCUCUCAUAGAGCUUUUGUAUACUAAACAGUUGCAAAGAAUUGGCAGCAUAUCUAUCCUUACAUUGGCCAACCAGACUGGAACUCCUUAACAGCAGGCCCAGAGCUGAGGACACAGAAAGAUGAGAGAGGAGGAUCUCCAUACGUGAGGGGAUCUCCACACAGGCUUGAACAAGCAGCCUUUUGCUUUGAUUUCAGAGUGAUAAUAAUCUUCUCUACCAAAUGACAGCUUAGGGCUCAGCUGCUGCGACACUGUUUUUGGAAUCAAAUUACUAGAAAGGUCAAAAUCAUUAACAUGUGCUUUAGGAAGAGGGAAAAUACCAGGCAAAACCUGUAAGCUUCCACAGCUGAAAGAUGCCCCCUGGACUAGCAGAUGCUAUUAUUUGCUUCCUUUCCCUGUAGGCAGAAAGGUGUCUUCUCACCAAGGGAACAGAGAAGGAGGUCAUUCUGCUUGGAGGUCUUUCAAAAAUGUGCAUAGCAGGAGGAGAUUCUUGUGAUUUUUUAUAAUUUAAAAGGCACGAAACAGUGUUAGAGGGAGUGAAUGAAUAGAUUACAUUCCUCUUACCUGACAUGCCCCUAACCUGUACACUCUCUGUAGGGCCCCCUUGGCACUGUUGGGUACAGUUGUCCCACUGUUAAAAAUGUAUUAACUUAUUCUUGCUCCCAUAUUCAUUAGGAGAAAAUUAAUAUGGAGUUGGUGCUACACACAAGGGACAAGACCUAAGAAGAGAAUUUUGCUAAUGCUUCCAUUACAUGUGUUGGGGCAUAAGCAUAAUAAUGAUUUAAUGAUUACAUUACAGUUCUCCUUCCACAGGAGAAAAAAAAAAAAAAGACAAAGGCUUCCACAGUGUUUGAGCUACAGCUUUGUCUUUCUUGUUUACCAGACACCUCUGUGAGGCCACCUGAAUACAUCAACUGUCUCAGCAUUUCAUUAGUCAUCAAGGCAGGUCAGGGCAAGGUGUUUUCCUUUUGAAAGCAUUCAAAGAAAAGUUAAAACCUCUGUCUAGAAAUAGUGUAGAGUUGAUAAAGGAGCCUUACUUUGGAUGCAUCAUGCAUAUUUUGCCUCUUUGAGCUGGGCCUCACUAAGUAAAAGCCAACCUUAUGUUCUCCAGUAUAUGGCUAAGACAACGUUGAACACAAGACUGGGAGACUGCCUUAAACUUUUAAAGUUCAUUAAGACAAACAGUGUACAUAAAGGCUUCUCUCCCACUGAUGCAUUCAAGCAUCUCAUCCCAUGAAAGUAAGAUGUCUCUACAUUUCAUACCCCAGCGGUGCUUUCAUAUUUGUCAUUUGCACCCCGGAUGGAUACAGGAUUCACUUUGAUAUGGCAGUGCCAAUGUCUCUAAAGUAAUCUGGCCCAUGAAAAAUCAUCUUUCUAAUCCUUGAGAAUGUCAUGUGUAUUAGCUGCAGCCUUUCUGGUAUGAAUCCUCUAGGGUGGAUUCAAUUUCACACAAGUCCUAGCAAGACAGACCAUCCUAGGCUAGGAAUUCAUAUCCUUCAUAGCCUCUGCUCUUCAGAGAGGCAAGCAACCACUGCUUUUCCAAUGGCACCCACCUUGAAACCCAUAUAUAAUUUUUGCUUCCUAGAGCAGGGAGGUUUGAUCUUGGAAUUUGGAGGUCAAAUGCUUCAAACUGUCUUCCCUAUAUCUCCCUUUCAUAUUUGUACAGCUUUAUGUAAAAUGCUGCAUGUUCACAUUCAGUCUUCAGCUGCAGCAUUUUUCCUUACCCAUUUCCCCUUGACCCACAAAAACCUGUCACCUGAGUUUAAUGAGCCAUCCAACUUGGCUCAGGUUCAGGUUGUUAGCCACUGUGUUCAAAACUGUUAAGUCUUCCAUUGCUUUCCUGCUCCUUCCCUUGGGAUGCGUAUUCCUGGUCAGAUACCUACUCAUGACCUCUACAUCCGAAAGGAUCCCUCGCUAGGAGAGUAUAUACCAGAUUUGAACCCACCUGCAAUGCAGUCUAAUGGGCAGGCACUAUUUCUAGUGCCUUGUCUCUAGUCUAGAGACAAGCAGAUCAUCUUCCAGUUCCCCGGGAGAAAAUGGAUCCCUGGGGCACUGUGGGGCUGAGGACCUGGGAGGUGCUUACAGAAGUCCUACAACCUCACUUGAGUGAGCACACCUUUCAAAGAACAUGCUCCAGUACAUCUUGGCACACGUAUUUGCUUGGCCUACCUCAAUCUGACUCAAGGUCGUGCAACAGCAAAGAUGUCCCUUUCAUGGGAUGUGCUCUUGUGAGUGUGCACCUUUGCUGUACGCUUUGCAUGAUCCCUGUUGCAGUUGCCACACUAUUAUCCUUACAUUCAUUACAGAUCAUUGUGGCACAGUCAUUUUUUUUUUUUUAUUACUGCUUUGCAUUGCACUGUGUUGGUUAAAGUGCUGCUACUGCAAUCAAGUAUUUUGGUUCACAGCGGAAUAAAUGUUUGAAGAGAUGAAUAUUUACCCUAAUUUACACUGUUAACCCCAUACACAAAAUGUAAAGGCUCUUGCUAGCACCUUCGUUGGAGAAAAUAUUUCAGAAACAGAAAAAAUUAGGGAAGAUGUUGCUCUGUGCUCAGGAAAGACAAUUCAGGAAGAUGGUCUGGAGGUCACAUUUAGUUUGUCUUCAAUAUGUGAGAAGGAGAGAGCCUUUUAAACUUUCAGAAGCUGGUACCUGCCUCAGUACAGUGCCUCCUUGACUCGACUCUCUCCAGCGGAGACCCCUCACUCUUUAGACCUGGACAGUUGUUUGGACCAGAGUGAAAUAGCUGCAGUCAUGACCUUGCUCUAGCCUUUUCCCAUUACCACAAAUGUCUUUGACAGUAGUACUUUUGCAGGCGUGAGGCAGUAGGAGGAUCAUGUCCAUCUGGUGAUGAAGUCAGGACUUGUCUUUGUACAGGAAUAUAAUAGAUGUAAUGAAAACACAAAUCCCCUGCUCUUCUUUUCUCUCUGGGGACUUCGGCAUCCAGCAUGUCCGUGCAAAUUUCCUCAAGGGAUGAAAAGGGCUCAAAAAUGAAAGAACUGGUUUCAGGCCAGCACUUGGUCCUUUGCUUGUUCAGGCAAACUCCUGAGAUGCCCUAUAUGUGAAAUGAAUUGCAGACCUCUGCCUCCCAGGGAAUUAGUUAAUAGCUUAAUGUUCUCACAGGAAAAAAAAAAAAAAAAAAGUCCAUGCAGGCAUUUUGGGUUGCCUCACUGCUAUUUCUUCCUUAAUGCAGUUUCAGCAUAGAUGGUUGUUAGGGAGAGGGAGUAGGAUCCCAUUUUGUAUGCAGAUUUCAGUGCUGAAUUAAAGGUCUUACAGUCUCAUGAUGCUAGAGCAACAGCAGCAGUAACUGGCCAUUCAUUUUGCAGUGAUCAUCAGACGACCUUGAGAUUUACCCAGCUGGGGCAGUAUGGUUUCUAUAAAUAUUACAUUUUCCAGGAUCGUGUUUUCAGCUGUACCAGAGACAAUCCUAGUGAAGAACUAACUCAGCUGGGCAUACCCUCCCUUCUUUCUCACCCUUUCCCUCUCCCCCCGCACCAGCCCUCCCUUACUCUGGGUUGUAAAAAAAGCCUCUGAGAUUUCUCUUUUAGCACUGACCUUCUGAGCUAUCUAAUGAUGAAGAUAGAAAGAGGCUGCAACCAGACAGUGAAAAAAGAAAACCCUUUUGCUAGCAGGGAAAUGUGUGAGUAAUAUACACACUGUUGGACAGUGGCCAAAUCACUCUAGUAACGGCUGUUAGUUCCCCUUACCAAGAAAAUGAUCAAAUGAGAAAGAGAAGCUGCAGUCGGGUGUCAGAAAUGCUGAGUCGCAACGGGAGAAUGCCGCAUCCGAUGGAAAUUUACCCAGGAGCCAGCGACCUUCACACGCUGGGGACGAAGACUGAGGGCUUGCAGGGAUAUCCUGCCCUCACUCACACGCCGCUGUACUUCCUCCAUGUCACCACCCAGCCACAGCAUACCCCGAAAAAGGAGGUCAGGAGAUGAGCUUCAAGACAGACUGGGCUGCCAGGACAGGCUCCAUGGCAUGAAACAAAGCACUGCUUAUAUAGUGUGCAAGGACGGCUGGCCCCACAGCACUGCCUCAUCUAUGGGGAUUACUUGCCUCAGGUGGAGAGAUGACAGGCUGUACAUUCUCUGUCCUUGGAGGUUUUCAAGACUGGAUAAAGCUGGAAGCAAUUUGGUCAGAUUUUCAGCCAACCCUGAUUUGAACGAGAGGUUGAUCCACAAACCUCCUGAGGUGCCUUCCAACUGGAACUAUGCUGUGCCCAUGGCAGCAUAAGGAAGAUGAGGUGUUGUUGCCGAUGGACAAUAGAACAGCAGCUUCUGGCCUUUAUUUCCUUCAGCCGGAGCAAAAUGUUUGAUGACUACUGAAGACAAACUCUUCCAUGCUUCACCAGAAAGAGUCAUUGGGUAUGGCUACAGAGACAGCUCAACCUCAUAGUGCAAGACUUAUCCACAUGCAUUUCUAGUUAGCUUAAACUAUGAACUCCUGAGCCAAUGAGUGCUGACAUUUUGAAUUGCACUGCAUGGACACAAAAUUUAGCCAGGCAUUUAAGUAAUGAGCAGAAAUUUCUCUUAAUCUUGUCAUAUUCCCUUGAAGGCAGUCACAAAAUACAAGUAUAAACUAUU
This is a long non-coding RNA of Pseudopipra pipra, 12043 nucleotides long. RefSeq lists it as uncharacterized. The transcript has 4 exons. The record is from RefSeq and is a predicted model, not a curated record. Lineage: Eukaryota; Metazoa; Chordata; Aves; Passeriformes; Pipridae.